This 468-nucleotide ribosomal RNA is filed under the name uncultured bacterium. Its description in RNAcentral is "partial 16S ribosomal RNA". It matches the Rfam family "Bacterial small subunit ribosomal RNA", at positions 28 to 507 of the family's 1533-position model. The record is from RNAcentral.
GACGAACGCUGGCGGCGUGCUUAACACAUGCAAGUCGAACGGAAAGGCCCUGCUUUUGUGGGGUGCUCGAGUGGCGAACGGGUGAGUAACACGUGAGUAACCUGCCCUUGACUUUGGGAUAACUUCAGGAAACUGGGGCUAAUACCGGAUAGGAGCUCCUGCUGCAUGGUGGGGGUUGGAAAGUUUCGGCGGUUGGGGAUGGACUCGCGGCUUAUCAGCUUGUUGGUGGGGUAGUGGCUUACCAAGGCUUUGACGGGUAGCCGGCCUGAGAGGGUGACCGGCCACAUUGGGACUGGGAUACGGCCCAGACUCCUACGGGCGGCAGCAGUGGGGAAUAUUGCACAAUGGGCGGAAGCCUGAUGCAGCAACGCCGCGUGCGGGAUGACGGCCUUCGGGUUGUAAACCGCUUUCGCCUGUGACGAAGCGUGAGUGACGGUAAUGGGUAAAGAAGCACCGGCUAACUACGUG